Molecule: long non-coding RNA, 427 nt
Organism: Lucilia cuprina (Australian sheep blowfly)
Lineage: Eukaryota; Metazoa; Arthropoda; Insecta; Diptera; Calliphoridae
Exons: 3
Source: RefSeq, a predicted model, not a curated record
AAAUGUGUGAAAAAUCAUUAGCAUUUUCUUCUAUGUGCUCUCAAUUCGGCAUUUUUUUCUAUUUCAUAUUGAAAUUACUCCAUCUCGAUAUUUGUGUUGAAAUUUAUUUUGAUUUUUAUGUUCUAUAAAAUUUGCAUCUUCUCGACACGUUGUUGCCACUUUGGCUGUUUUGAAAAUAUUGCUCAAUUUUACGAUCAGAAGCGUCUACAGGUGAUGUUUUUUAUUGCAAAAUGCAAUUUUUAAAAUGAAAAAGAUUAAAAAUUCUAAAAAAAUAUUUAGGAAUAUAUUAUAUACAUGUCCAACUGUAUAUCUGUUCCUUCAGGUGGAUUCGUAUUAUUAUUGGGCGGAACUAAACUUGUAUUAUCAUUAUUAUUUUGCAUAGCCGGAGUUGCCUGUGUCGCUGCCAUUACUAAACGACUUCCUCUAG